UACGUAGGGGGCUAGCGUUGUCCGGAUUUAUUGGGCGUAAAGAGCGUGUAGGCGGCCAGGUAGGUCUGCUGUGAAAACUCGAGGCUUAACCUCGAGAUGUCGGCGGAAACCAUCUGGCUAGAGUCCGGAAGAGGAGAGUGGAAUUCCUGGUGUAGCGGUGAAAUGCGUAGAUAUCGGGAGGAACACCUGUGGCGAAAGCGGCUCACUGGACCACAACUGACGCUGAGGCGCGGAAGCUAGGGGAGCAAACAGG
RNAcentral lists this ribosomal RNA (253 nucleotides) under uncultured bacterium. RNAcentral describes it as "partial 16S ribosomal RNA". It matches the Rfam family "Bacterial small subunit ribosomal RNA", at positions 524 to 776 of the family's 1533-position model. The record is from RNAcentral.